Molecule: long non-coding RNA, 924 nt
Filed under: Eucalyptus grandis
Lineage: Eukaryota; Viridiplantae; Streptophyta; Magnoliopsida; Myrtales; Myrtaceae
Description: long non-coding RNA (EGRA_LNC001876)
Source: RNAcentral
GACACUUUGCAUUUGAAUAUUUUUUCACACUGAAAUGAUAGAAAAGCUGUCGAUGAUAUCCUUAUCAGUAACAAAGCGGUUGCUCCACAUUUUCUGUCUUCAUUCAGCUGACAAAUUAUGACAAGCAAACAAAAACGAAUAUCAACAGGGAACCGCGGUUCAAACUAGUCCUGAAAUUGCUCCUUUACAAUCCCGAGUUAGAACAACUCCUCCUGUUGUUUUCGUUCGUGAUCUUCUAGCCAUGCGCAACCUUGAAUUUCUUGUAACGUGUUUUUUCCUCGCAUCUUCAACAGAUGUUACCCAAACGUAGUUUCAUAAGCACAUGUUGAUUAUAAGUCUCCGAAAAGAAAAAUGGAAGAACAUUCGAGGACACUUCAACUUUACCUCAAUUAAGUUUAUCAUGAACUCGAUGUUUGAGGCUCAAUCUUGGCCGAGCUCGAAACCUUGUCCGUCCCUGAUCUGUAACUCACGCCCAUUUCAGUUGCGCCCCUUCCUAAACUCAAAGUCGGUCCCCUUUCUGAAUUCAUAGUUGCGCCCUUUUCUGAAGUUGAUCCUCUGCCCCUUCCUAUACUCGAAGUCAUGCUGCUUUGUGAAUUUGAAGAACCUUUGUGUCUGCCCCUGAUCUUAAAGUAGCACCCAUUUUAGUUGUGCCCCAUCCUAAACUUACAGUCGUGCCCUUCCUGAAGUUGAACCUCUGCCCCUUCCUGUACUCAAAGUCGAGCUGCUUUGAGAACUAGACGCUAUGCCCCUUCCUGAACUUGAACUUGUGCCCAUAUUAGUUGUGUCCCUUCUUGAACUUGAACUUCUACCCUGUCCUGAACUCAAACUCGUGUCCUGUCCUGAACUCAAAGAAGCGCUGCUUCGUGAAAUUGAAGAUAUGCUCCUUCCUGAAUUUAAUGCCUUGCCCUUUCCUGAAGUGGAANN